UACAGAGGGGGCAAGCGUUGUCCGGAUUUACUGGGCGUACAGCGCGCGCAGGCGGUUGCGUAUGUGAGCGGUGACAUCCGCGGGCUCAACCCGCGGCGGCCCGCUUACACAGCGCGACUGGAGGCAGGGAGAGGGAUGUGGAAUACCCGGUGGAGCGGUGAAAUGCGUAGAGAUCGGGUGGAACACCAGCGGCGAAGGCGGCAUCCUGGACCGGCAUUGACGCUGAGGCGCGAAAGCCAGGGGAGCAAACGGG
RNAcentral lists this ribosomal RNA (253 nucleotides) under uncultured bacterium. Its description in RNAcentral is "partial 16S ribosomal RNA". It matches the Rfam family "Bacterial small subunit ribosomal RNA", at positions 524 to 776 of the family's 1533-position model. The record is from RNAcentral.